AGUGAACGCUGGCGGCGUGCUUAACACAUGCAAGUCGAACGAGAACGGGUUAUAGCUUGCUAUAAUUGUCAGCUAAGUGGCGCACGGGUGAGUAAUGUAUAGGUAAUAUGCCUCUUACUAAGGGAUAACAAAUGGAAACGUUUGCUAAUACCUUAUACUCCUUAUUAACAGAAGUUAAUAAGGGAAAGAUUUAUUGGUAAGGGAUUAGCCUGUAUUGUAUCAGUUAGUUGGUGGGGUAAUGGCUUACCAAGACUAUGACACAUAACUGGUUUGAGAGGAUGAUCAGUCACACUGGAACUGAGACACGGUCCAGACUCCUACGGGAGGCAGCAGUGGGGAAUAUUGCACAAUGGACGAAAGUCUGAUGCAGCAACGCCGCGUGGAGGAUGACACAUUUCGGUGCGUAAACUCCUUUUAUAUGAGAAGAUAAUGACGGUAUUAUAUGAAUAAGCACCGGCUAACUCCGUGCCAGCAGCAGCCGCCG
This 484-nucleotide ribosomal RNA is filed under the name uncultured bacterium. RNAcentral's name for it is "partial 16S ribosomal RNA". It matches the Rfam family "Bacterial small subunit ribosomal RNA", at positions 29 to 523 of the family's 1533-position model. The record is from RNAcentral.